CGAGUCGGCCGGGCGGCCGCGUCAGGACCCUCCCGGUCCUGCCGAGGAACGUCCGGGCUCCGCAGGGCAGGGUGGUAGGUAACACCUACCUGGGGUGACCCACGGGACAGUGCCACAGAAAACAGACCGCCGGCCGCGAGCCGGUAAGGGUGAAACGGUGGUGUAAGAGACCACCAGCGCCCAGGGUGACCUGGGCGGCUCGGUAAACCCCACCCGGAGCAAGGUCAAGAGGGGCUGCUGCGCAAGCGGCGGCCCUGCGCGGACGAUUGAGGGCGGCCCGUCCGAGUCCGCGGGUAGACCGCUAGAGGCCGGUGGCGACACCGGUCCUAGAUGGAUGGCCGCCACCCCGACGGCCGCAAGGCCCAGGGGUACAGAACCCGGCGUACAGGCCGGCUCGUCCG
This 401-nucleotide RNase P RNA is filed under the name Streptomyces sp. 7-21. Its description in RNAcentral is "RNase P RNA component class A". It matches the Rfam family "Bacterial RNase P class A". From Rfam's summary of the family: Ribonuclease P (RNase P) is a ubiquitous endoribonuclease, found in archaea, bacteria and eukarya as well as chloroplasts and mitochondria. The record is from RNAcentral. Lineage: Bacteria; Bacillati; Actinomycetota; Actinomycetes; Kitasatosporales; Streptomycetaceae. RNAcentral also lists the same sequence under 1 other name.